UUUGAGUCAUCUUUUCCCUGUUAGCCUUUGGGUUGAGUGGAGCCUCAGUCAGAAGCACAGGGUGCUCUUCGGGAGCAACACGAAGCUCAUUGUAGAAUGUGUGAUGCCAAAUCUUUUCCAUGUCAUCCCAGUUACUGACUAUACCAUGUUCAAUGGGAUAUUUCAAGGUAAGGAUACCUCUUUUAGACUGAGCUUCAUCCCCAACAUAAGCAUCUUUUUGGCCCAUCCCAACCAUGACACCGGUAUGUCGGGGACGACCAACAAUACUGGGGAAAACUGCCCUAGGAGCAUCAUCACCAGCAAAGCCAGCCUUCACCAUUCCAGUUCCAUUGUCACAGACAAGUGGCUGAAUAUCCUCGGCGUCGGCCAUUUCUUUUCAAAAACUUGGAUUAAAGAGAGGAGGAAUGAGUGAGGAAGAGGAAGAAGAAGAAGCCAACCUCCAACGAAGAAGGUGUGGCCGAGAGGAGUGAGUGUUGUUGUCGACCUAGGUGAG
This 493-nucleotide unclassified non-coding RNA is filed under the name Hevea brasiliensis (rubber tree). Lineage: Eukaryota; Viridiplantae; Streptophyta; Magnoliopsida; Malpighiales; Euphorbiaceae. The record is from RNAcentral.